This 215-nucleotide unclassified non-coding RNA is filed under the name Glomeraceae sp. Its description in RNAcentral is "partial contains 5.8S ribosomal RNA and internal transcribed spacer 2". The stretch from base 1 to 72 matches the Rfam family "5.8S ribosomal RNA", at positions 84 to 154 of the family's 154-position model. The record is from RNAcentral. Lineage: Eukaryota; Fungi; Glomeromycota; Glomeromycetes; Glomerales; Glomeraceae.
GUGAAUCAUCAAAUUUUUGAACGCAAAUUGCACUCUCCGGUUUUCCGGGAGAGUAUGCCUGUUUGAGGGUCAGCCUAAAAAAAAAUCGACAUUGUUGCUUGUUUUAUGGUGACUUUCGUCGGAGGUGGGUUAUCUUAAACCUUUGGUUUAAGUGACUAAAAUUUUUUUUUAGGUUCCAACGAACGUUUCUAAGAUUUUCUGUUAGUUCAAAGUAU